GUGGGGAAUAUUGGACAAUGGGCGAAAGCCUGAUCCAGCCAUGCCGCGUGUGUGAAGAAGGUCUUCGGAUUGUAAAGCACUUUAAGUUGGGAGGAAGGGCAGUAAGUUAAUACCUUACUGUUUUGACGUUACCGACAGAAUAAGCACCGGCUAACUUCGUGCCAGCAGCCGCGGUAAUACGAAGGGUGCAAGCGUUAAUCGGAAUUACUGGGCGUAAAGCGCGCGUAGGUGGUUUUGUAAGUUGGAGGUGAAAUCCCCGGGCUCAACCUGGGAACUGACUCCAAAACUACUGAGCUAGAGUACGGUAGAGGGUAGUGGAAUUUCCUGUGUAGCGGUGAAAUGCGUAGAUAUAGGAAGGAACACCAGUGGCGAAGGCGACUACCUGGACUGAUACUGACACUGAGGUGCGAAAGCGUGGGGAGCAAACAGGAUUAGAAACCCUAGUAGUCC
RNAcentral lists this ribosomal RNA (450 nucleotides) under uncultured bacterium. RNAcentral describes it as "partial 16S ribosomal RNA". It matches the Rfam family "Bacterial small subunit ribosomal RNA", at positions 354 to 796 of the family's 1533-position model. The record is from RNAcentral.